CUGAAAUAAGGCAAUUCCUUCUAUGUGUGGGCACUCUGAAGAUCUUUGCAAGAAUGACAUCUUUGCAGUCGGGGCUGGGCUUCCUCCUUUCGGUUGGUUGGCUGGCAGCUGCUGCAGCUUCUGCUGGGACAUAUCCGGUAAGACAAACUCCAUAUAUAACAUACAUAUCGCCCUUGCCUUCACUUGCAAAGUAUGUGUGGACUGGUGAUCAGUGUGGACCCCUUCUUGAUAGCAGUACCUUGAUGGGAAUUAAUUGCUACAAACCAAAUUCAGUGCUUUGAGCAUGGAGGUGGAUGUUAACUGUCCUUCCCCUUCAUGUCUCCUAAGUAGUGUGUGAGGUGGGGAUGUCUUCUCCAGAUCUUUGAAGGGCUUCAGUGUAUGUAUGUCACAAGCAGUGCAAUGAAAGUGCCACUCAGGUCACUGGGAGAGUGGUCCAUCUCGCUGGCCCCGACGCCCGAGUGACAGGGGAAUCCUCACAGCCCUGAACUUUCCAGCUGUUUGAAGUACAGAGCCGGUACUGAUCUGAAUUUUGCAGGUGGCAGCUACCUAACAUGACAAGAUGGGAACUCUGGAUCUAGACACUUGUGUGUUUUCAGGCCGAAUCCAAGUGCAAACGUUUGCAGCUCACAUCCUUGUCUGUAUUAAAUGGUCACAAAUAAUGCUGUGUUACCAUUGUAACCACAUGAGAUCAUCUCUCUUCUCUUUCUCCCUGUCUAGUGCUUGAGCAGCCCUGUCGAUGGUGAGUUUCUUACCAAGUAAUUUUCCUAAGGAAGAUUCAAACACAGCUCUCUGUGUGUAUUUCUGUCACGUUUCCUUUAUCCCUGUCUCUCUCUCUCUUUUUUGGGGAAUCAGAAGCUGCUGUGUGUGCUUCAGUGAAAAGCGUCAGCCGGGAGAUGCUUCUUGAGGUAGCCCAUGGUCAAGCUUCCCCCUGCAACCUCACCUUUGGUCAAUACGCCUGUGCGCAGAGCGCUUGGCUCCAGGACCUUAAGGAUGAUUUCCUCAUAUCCUUAUAUUCUUGCCUUAGCCCUAAGCCUGUCAGUGCAGUGGAUCCAGCAUACUCCAUUCUGUUCUUUUCCAAGUACGAUGCCAACAAGCUUGUAGCUGCCCUGACUGCCUUCAGCCRGCGGUUUUCUCAUGUGCCUCUCUCGCAAAACUGGAGCAUGAUCUUCAUUAAUGGCCUGUGGGAGAAGAUGUUACAAGUACCUGACAUUGACAGCCCACCCGUUUUGUUUCGAUGGGUCCAUGAGGGGCUUCAGCCAUUCCUGGUGAAGCCCACGGUCUUUGCUUGCCUCCAUGCCAAAAAAGUGUUGUGCAAGACUUUUCAGGAGAUAGUUACUGCCCUGAACGGCAUCUAUUCUAAMCUUCCAGUAGAAGAACAGAGGAAUCUUUACAAUGGGAUCAAGUACUACCUCAUCCAGGAUGGUAAAUGACUUCUUUUUCCUUAAGAAACAACUACUUUAAGCCCCUAAUGUAUGUUACAAUGAUAGCCAUGAUCUGUGAAGCCUCAGCUCUGUAACAGAUUUAUAGUGAAUUUAUACUGUCUCUUUAGUGCU
Long non-coding RNA from Dromaius novaehollandiae (emu), 1553 nucleotides. NCBI's taxonomy places the organism in Eukaryota, Metazoa, Chordata, Aves, Casuariiformes, Dromaiidae. The record is from Ensembl.